UACGGAAGGUCCAGGCGUUAUCCGGAUUUAUUGGGUUUAAAGGGAGCGCAGGCGGGAGGUUAAGCAUGACGUGAAAUGUAGCCGCUCAACGGCUGAACUGCGUCGCGAACUGGCUUUCUUGAGUGAGUACGACGUCAGCGGAAUUCGUGGUGUAGCGGAGAAAUGCUUAGAUAUCACGAAGAAUCCCGAUUGCGAAGGCAGCUGACGAGUCCUUUACUGACGCUAAAGCUCGAAGGUGCGGGUAUCGAAC
RNAcentral lists this ribosomal RNA (250 nucleotides) under uncultured prokaryote. RNAcentral describes it as "partial 16S ribosomal RNA". It matches the Rfam family "Bacterial small subunit ribosomal RNA", at positions 524 to 773 of the family's 1533-position model. The record is from RNAcentral.